GACGAACGCUGGCGGCGUGCUUAACACAUGUAAGUCGAACGGAAAGGCCCUGCUUUUGUGGGGUGCUCGAGUGGCGAACGGGUGAGUAACACGUGAGUAACCUGCCCUUGACUUUGGGAUAACUUCAGGAAACUGGGGCUAAUACCGGAUAGGAGCUCCUGCUGCAUGGUGGGGGUUGGAAAGUUUCGGCGGUUGGGGAUGGACUCGCGGCUUAUCAGCUUGUUGGUGGGGUAGUGGCUUACCAAGGCUUUGACGGGUAGCCGGCCUGAGAGGGUCGCCGGGCAGAUGGGGAGAGAGAGACGGCACAGGCUGGUACGGGAGGCAGCAGUGGGGGAUAGUGGAGGAGGGGCGGGAGCCUGAUGCAGCCAUGCAGCGUGGGGGAAGACGGAGUGAGGGUGGUAAACCACUAUCGCCUGUGACGAAGCGUGAGAGAGGGGAAGGGGUAAAGAAGCAGGGGAUAACUGCGUG
RNAcentral lists this ribosomal RNA (468 nucleotides) under uncultured bacterium. RNAcentral describes it as "partial 16S ribosomal RNA". It matches the Rfam family "Bacterial small subunit ribosomal RNA", at positions 28 to 507 of the family's 1533-position model. The record is from RNAcentral.